GUGAUCACUUCGGGAUCACAUAUACUAAAAUUGGAACAAUAGAAAAAGGAUUAGCGUGGUUCCUGUGCAAGGAUAACAUGCAAAUUCGUGAAGCAUUCCAUAUUGAA
This is a small nuclear RNA of Cavia aperea (Brazilian guinea pig), 107 nucleotides long. The record is from Ensembl. Lineage: Eukaryota; Metazoa; Chordata; Mammalia; Rodentia; Caviidae.